Molecule: unclassified non-coding RNA, 417 nt
Filed under: uncultured Sebacina
Lineage: Eukaryota; Fungi; Basidiomycota; Agaricomycetes; Sebacinales; Sebacinaceae
Description: sequence contains ITS2
Rfam family: 5.8S ribosomal RNA (bases 1-154)
Source: RNAcentral
AACUUUUGACAACGGAUCUCUUGGCUUUCGCAUCGAUGAAGAACGCAGCGAAAUGCGAUAAGUAAUGUGAAUUGCAGAAUUCAGUGAAUCAUCGAAUCUUUGAACGCACCUUGCACCCUUUGGCAUUCCGAAGGGUAUGCUCGUUUGAGUGUCAUUGUACUCUCACACUCCCGAUGCUUUUGGAUUGGGAGUGGUGGACUUGGGUGUUGCUGCUUUACUGUGGCUCACCUCAAAUGGAGUAGUGCAACUCUUGGUUGGACAUAGUACGGCGUGAUAAGUGUCUUCGCCGGCGCCUCAUUAGAGGAUGGCCGAUCGGGAGCUCUGUGCUUCAAACCGUCUUCGGACAACAUCUGACAACUUGACCUCAAAUCGAGUAGGACUACCCGCUGAACUUAAGCAUAUCAAUAAGCGGAGGCU